AACUUGGUUGGGUUGUGCUGGCUUUUCGGAGCAUGUGCACGCCUAGCGCCAUUUUUACCACCUGUGCACAUUUUGUAGAUUUGGAACAAUUCUCGGGUUUACUCGGUUUGAGGAAUGCUAUGCCAAAAGCUUAGCUUUCCUUGUGUUUCAAGUCUAUGUUUUUAUAUACCCCAUACGAAUGUAAUAGAAUGUCAUUAAUGGGCUUAUAGCCUUUAAAUUAAUACAACUUUCAACAACGGAUCUCUUGGCUCUCGCAUCGAUGAAGAACGCAGCGAAAUGCGAUAAGUAAUGUGAAUUGCAGAAUUCAGUGAAUCAUCGAAUCUUUGAACGCACCUUGCGCUCCUUGGUAUUCCGAGGAGCAUGCCUGUUUGAGUGUCAUUAAAUUCUCAACCUUUCCAGCUUUUACAAGUUGGAUUGGCUUGGAUGUGGAGGCUUUGCAGGCUUCUUAAGAAGUCAGCUCCUCUUAAAUGCAUUAGCGGAACCUUUGUGGACCAGCUUUGGUGUGAUAAUUAUCUACGCCAUGGUUGUAAAGCAGCUUUAUAUGGGGUUCAGCUUCUAACAGUCCAUUUACUUGGACAAUUUCUGACAUCUUGACCUCAAAUCAGGUAGGACUACCCGCUGAACUUAAGCAUAUCAAUAAGCGAGAGAGAAG
Molecule: ribosomal RNA, 652 nt
Filed under: Collybia nuda
Lineage: Eukaryota; Fungi; Basidiomycota; Agaricomycetes; Agaricales; Clitocybaceae
Description: eukaryotic LSU rRNA
Rfam family: 5.8S ribosomal RNA (bases 225-378)
Source: RNAcentral